CCUACCAAGACANNGAUACGUAGCCGAACUGAGAGGUUGAUCGGCCACAUCGGGACUGAGACACGGCCCGAACUCCUACGGGAGGCAGCAGUAGGGAAUUUUUCACAAUGGGCGAAAGCCUGAUGGAGCAAUGCCGCGUGACUGAAGACGGUCUUCGGAUUGUAAAGGUCUGUUGUAAGGGAAGAACAAUAAGUAUAGGAAAUGAUACUUAUUUGAUGACAGUACCUUACCAGAAAGCCACGGCUAACUAUGUGCCAGCAGCCGCGGUAAUACAUAGGUGGCAAGCGUUAUCCGGAUUUAUUGGGCGUAAAGCGUGCGCAGACGGUUUAACAAGUUUAGGGUCAAAUCCUGGAGCUCAACUCCAGUUCGCCUUGAAAACUGUUAAGCUAGAGUGUAGGAGAGGUCGAUGGAAUUCCAUGUGUAGCGGUGAAAUGCGUAGAUAUAUGGAGGAACACCAGUGGCGAAGGCGGUCGACUGGCCUAUCACUGACGUUUAGGCACGAAAGCGUAGGGAGCAAAUAGGAUUAGAUACCCUAGUAGUCUACGCCGUAAACGAUGAGUACUAAGUAUCGGACUAAGUUCGGUGCUGCAGCUAACGCAUUAAGUACUCCGCCUGAGUAGUAUGCUCGCAAGAGUGAAACUCAAAGGAAUUGACGGGGACCCGCACAAGCGGUGGAGCAUGUGGUUUAAUUCGAAGCAACGCGAAGAACCUUACCAAGGCUUGACAUCCAGUGCAAAGCUGUAGAAAUACAGUGGAGGUUAACAUUGAGACAGGUGGUGCAUGGUUGUCGUCAGCUCGUGCCGUGAGGUGUUUGGUUAAGUCCAGUAACGAGCGCAACCCUUGCCGUUAGUUACUCAAUUAAGUUGAGAUACUCUAACGGGACUGCUAGUGUAAGCUAGAGGAAGGUGAGGAUGACGUCAAAUCAGCAUGCCCCUUAUGUCUUGGGCUACACACGUGCUACAAUGGUCGGUACAAACAGUUGCGAUCUCGUAAGAGGGAGCUAAUCUGAAAAAGCCGAUCUCAGUUCGGAUUGAGGACUGCAACUCGCCCUCAUGAAGCCGGAAUCGCUAGUAAUCGCGAAUCAGCAAUGUCGCGGUGAAUACGUUCUCGGGUCUUGUACACACCGCCCGUCACACCAUGAGAGUUGAUAAUACCAGAAGUCGGUAUCUAACCGCAAGGAAGAA
Molecule: ribosomal RNA, 1184 nt
Filed under: Spiroplasma sp.
Lineage: Bacteria; Bacillati; Mycoplasmatota; Mollicutes; Entomoplasmatales; Spiroplasmataceae
Description: bacterial SSU rRNA
Rfam family: Bacterial small subunit ribosomal RNA
Source: RNAcentral